Molecule: long non-coding RNA, 1159 nt
Filed under: Oryzias javanicus (javanese ricefish)
Lineage: Eukaryota; Metazoa; Chordata; Actinopteri; Beloniformes; Adrianichthyidae
Description: lncRNA (ENSOJAG00000023609.1)
Source: RNAcentral
CAAGCAGAGAAACUCCGUGACGAGGGUAAACCAUGCUGCGCUGAGAAGUACUUUUCUUCACGUGGGAGCGCUCUGAACCACAGAAGUUUACAUUUAAUUGUAAGUAAUGACCUUUUUAAAGUUAUAUAACCGCUGUUGUUAUGUAUAUUUGAGUGCCGGAAGUUCUGUCCUAAAGCUACCGGUCCGGCGAUUAUUGGUGACGUCAACGAAAGAAAGUAACACCUGAAAUAAGAGACAUUUUUUUUUCAUAACUCUCCGUUUGGUGAGCAAAAUGAAGGUGAAGGGAGAAGGGAAGAAUUUGGAUUGGGUCAAUGGAUCAAAUUCAUUUUCAACUGCUUAGCUGGAGAAGUGGCUGUUGGGUUAGGGUUAUGCAGGGCUAUUUAGAACACGUCAUUAGUUAGUUGACUAAACAGACACUACAUGAGAAAAACAAUACCUGACCAACUAAAGGCAUGUUUCUGGAGUGUAAGAAGAGAAAAUAAAGUCCUGUGUUAAGGCUGAUUGGCUCAGCCAACUGUCGUCAGGGUUGGAGGGAAUCACUAAGAACUUAAAGGAAGAAAGAAACGGUACAAAGGAUUUGAAGACAAAAAUAAGACAAAAAGAGGGAAAUGCUUCGACUUACCAAGGCAACAUGCGAGAAAGACCCGGCCUCUCUCCGAAGCCACAAGGACAAACUCAUAUCCGCAUUCGCAUGUGGCUCCUGCCAGUUCGGCGCUCCCUCCCCAGAAAGCUGAUCUGUCGGAGUUUUUGUUCCAGGUUGUGGCUGUUGCAAAUCCAUUACAUCAGAUAAAAGAAGGGACGGAAAUCUGAUGCUGCCUCAGAUCCCGUUGGGGUUGUCAAAGACAAGCGGAUGAAAAAUAGAGGAUUACUCCACUCUCUCCUUAUUAAGUCACCGCAGAUGGAGGGACCGUUGCAGCCAUAUGUCCCAGCAUCAGUCCCCCCCUUUUUUUUUAUUUUCCUAAUCUGAUGCAAUACGCUUAGGGGAGAACUCCUCAAAAACGAUAACUUGCUCAGACUCGCACACUCAUAAGAAAAUAAAUAAAGCAGUAUUGCACCAUUUUUAUGGUAAGUUUUAUACUUAUAGCCCAGCAUUAAGAGGAAGGAAACAUUUCUCCCCUUUUUAUAAAAUGACUGUUUUACCCCAAAGCUUAUAUCCUUU